GGAGGCUGGCGGAGCUCGGCUCCCGACGCGCAGCGCAGCAGCAGCUUGGGGCCGCCGAAGCAGUAGCACUGGAAGGGGCAGGGUGCCGCGGGCUGGCUCAGCGCCGCCGCCACGAGCAGCAGCCCCUGGAGCCCCGGCUGUCCCGCGCGCGGGGCCAUCGCGGCCGCCCCCGCAUCCAGCGCCCGGGCCGCCGCGCUCACCAGUGAGUUGGGAGCGCCUGGUGGGGGGCACGGGUGGGGCGAGUCCUUGACCCGGAGCGGCUGGCAGUCCCGGUCGGUCCGUUCGCUGUCUCGAAAGUCUGAGGAGCCGCACUUACUGGCUGACUGGCCGGGGGCAAGAGGGGUCAGACGGGGAGCGGAGCCCCCCGCCCCCGGUGCCCUCGCCCUGCGCGCCGGCCUCCGGCUUCCGCGGCCGCUCCGGGCUCCGAGCCGAGUGGGCAGGGUUUGCCUCCCCCCUCCCCGCCUCCCGGUCUCGUCCUCCGCCCCCAGCGGAGUCUCCGCGCCCUCCUCGCCGUGGGAGGCGGGGUGGGAGGCUCCCGAGAAUCAGGGCUGUCGGCUGCUGCGCUUUCUCUUCAUCCUCUCCGCCCCCGCCCCUCCGGGCUGCCGAGAAGUUUGGCUCCUGGAGGCUCCGACUUGGUUUUCCUCCUCCUCCACCCCCAACAUUUAAGCUGGGUCCUUCCUCCUCCUUCUCCAGCACGUGUGGGGCGGGGCCCGACUGCGGAGAGCAGGCAGAACUGGGAAGCUCUAAACCUGAUUUAAAGAGACAGGCUCCUGAGAAGGGAGGAUUCCUGGCCUUAGCAUGAAUUAUUCAGGCUGGAGAGGCUGACACUUGAUCCGCAGGCCAUUCGGGUAUCAGCAGAGCUGGUUGGAAUAGAGGCUCCCCACCUCCUCCCAAGAAUCAGUCUCUUUCUCCUGAAUUGGGUACGGUUGUUAUGUUGACUCCUUCCCUGAGGUUAUAUUUAACAGAUCGACCAAAGGAUCAAUACCACUUAAGGAGAAGAGGCAGACCCUGCAGUGGCCUGGGUCUUGGGCAAGGACCAACAUUAAGGAACAGAGCUGGUGAUGAUGGGGGUCUCCCAGCUCUCCCCUCCUCCAAGCCCCUCUCUCUUCCCUACCCCCUGUCUUAACUCUCCCAGGUAUGAGAGCUCAGAUGUGUCUCAUGCAAGUCCAUGCAGACUCAUUCAUAUGUGGACAUAGGAUCGUAGGUUUGAGUGCGUCCUGGCAUGUGUCCAUAAAUUCAUAAAGACAUACAUAUUUGAAUAUGCACACUUCUGAGCCCAUGCAGGUUCGUGGAUACAUUCUCAGAGGGCAAGCUUACAGGCCCAUGCUUAAGCCAUGCCAAGCAUAGGGACCCAGCGAUUGGCUAGCACAGUCAGACCCUACUCCUCCUGCCCUGCACCAUGCCCUUGGUCUGUGGAGGUAACAGGCUGGUGAUGUCUUUUCUCACAUGGGCACACGUGCUCAAGUAGAUGCCACUGGGGCUGGGCCCCCAGCUAUAGCCCUCCCCUAAACCCCGGCCCACACAGCAACAUGCCCCAGCUCUGACAUCUCCCCUGGUAGGAGGCACUAGGUCGUUUUCACUUUUCUGUUUCCAGUAUAGAGACUAUCUCAGGAGAGUGUGUGGUGCAAAUGACAGACUGAAUGAACAGAAGUCUCUGUUUCCUUGUCUGCUUCCAGGCCCUGAGGAAUCAGACCACUACCAAGGCUGGAACUCCUUCCCCAGGCCCCGGUGGUGGCUGGCCUCAGAUUGGCUGAUGCCCCCCUCCCCUGCUGCCCCCCAGGAAAGGAGCUGCAGGACCACAGGCAGCCUUGAUUGGGGGGGUGCUCAACACCUCAUUUGGGGAAAUGAGGCCUGGAGAGAAUUUAGAAUCAUCAGGUGCCAGAGAAUAAGGCAAAUGUCGUCUGUUUUGCACAAAUGGGGAAAUAGGCCAGAGGGGCCCCAAGGCCCCUGUCAAGUUUUCAGAGUUUAGCCUAGAAACCUGACCCCAGGGUCCUUGCCCAGGACUCUGUCCAAGAUGGUGGGCUGCAUCUGAGAGGGUCCUGCACCACAAGGAAUGCUUAUCCUGACCCCAAGAAGCUGAGGCUGGGAAUGGAUGCCAUGGUUGAUCUGGUGUGACCUCAGGCCUUUCUCAAUCUUGGGCUGUCACCUUCCUCUUCUAUAAGGUAGAUAGGCUUUAAAUUCCUGUUCUUCCUAUUCCUCUCAGGGCUGUUAUGAUAAAGUGAGUUGAAAGUGCCUCAAAACAAGAAAAAACAUUUCACCUGGGUCUGGGGGCCUAGCACCCGUCCUGCCAGACCCUGGGUAAGGCAUUGCCCCUCUCUGGGACUAAUUAGCUCCCAUGUCAUUUUUCCCUGUUCCAUGUUCUUUCCUUCUCCAACACAGCAGAUUUGUGGUGGAUGUUAAUGAGUCUCUGCUUGUCUCUCUGUAUGGCCUCUACUCAGCCUCCUCUCCUCUCUUCCCACUUUGUAAAGGUGCUUCCCGUCUAAAUUCUCCUGGAACCAAUUUCUCUCUGUCCAAGUUCCCCAAGGAAUCAAGUCUGCGAGCCAUUGGGGCUGAGGGAUCUCUGUUCUUUGGAGGAACAGCGCUCUCCAUCUUAGAUUUGCCAGUGUUCAGUAUGCAUUAAGUGUUCAAUAAAUGUGUGUCCACUUGAGUCUGAGGCUGUGUGUUUAUUCUCUGAUGCAUCUGGUGGAAGUCUCUUUUCUUGGACUGUUUGCCCCAGCUGGGGUGCUCUCCUCUUGAUUCUGUUUCUCCAGUCCAGUCAGCUGUCCCUCAGGACUUGUGAGUUUUGCCCCCUUCAGGGAGCCCUCAUGGCUUCCCUCUCCAUCCUUUGAACUUCACUGAUCAAUUAGAGGGCUAAGACUCCCCUGAUCUUCUUGACUGUCAGCAGCUAGGGCUCAGGUCUGGUCUAAUUUCUUAGGGAUCAGUACAGAGAAGGCACCAGGGAAUAUUUGCUGACUGAAAUAAUGAUUUAAAAAUCUGUGACUCGAGCCUCUCAUCCCUAUGAGGCAAGCUCGGUGAGGACCCCUCAUCUACACUUCAUACCAGGAGAUAGCUGCUCAGAAAUGUUAAGUGCUUUCCCCAAGGUUGCACACCUGACUGGGACCUGAGCCAGAUAGAAGCUCGGGUUUCUUGCCCAUCUCCUUUGCCGCAGCCCCCCCUCAUCCUAGGAUCCCUCUCUCCUGGGAGUGUGGCUGGGUCAGAUCCCAGGGGAGCCUGUGGGCAAAGAGCUCACGCCCUCAGGGUUUCCUUAGGACUCGGAAGAAGCGAGGCACCCCUCGCCACCCAAGCAGAGUGAUCAUCUGCCCUUUGCCCAGAUGAGUACCCCUCAUGUCAGCCACACUGGAUCUUCACGCUUGCUUGAAUUUAUUACUCCACUAGGUCCCAGAGCCCUUCUCUUAGUAUUCCAAGGUGUUGUCUCUACCUGAGCCUCUAGUGCCUUCGCUGGGCCUUUUCUGCUGGCACAGACCCUGCUGUUGAUCAGCUCCACUAAGCCUUGGUAGGGAGCACAGAGUGUGAUGACGUCCCUGAGAUCACCCAGCAGGUAGCCCCUUCUCCAGCUCUGUUUUGUCAUCAGAGGUGUGUCAAUAUUAUUAAAGUCCUUGGACACACCUCAGUUUCCCUGUCUGCAAAAAAGUGUGUGUGGAUGGGAUGGUCCUGGGGGGCCUAGUAGUCUUGUGCCCCUUGGCAUUUUAGGGAUGGGGGUCAGGGAGGGGAAGGUCAUACUGGGAUUUGCCCAAGUUGGUGCCCCCACCUUCUCAAUAUAUGACCUUGAACUUGGUACCACCCCAAUUAAGGCCUUGGUUGCCCGACUAGAAAGUGGUAGGGGUGGCUGGGUGUGGUGCCUCAUGCCUGUAAUCCCAGAACUUUGGGAGGCCGAGGUGGGCAGAUCACAAGGUCAGGAGAUUGAGGCCAUCCUGGCGAACAUGGUGAAACCCCGUCUCUACUAAAAAUACAAAAAAGAAUUAGCCGGGCGUGGUGGUGGGCACCUGUAGUCCCAGCUACUCAGGGGGGCUGAGGAAGAAAGUGGUAGGGGUGGUCUGGGGUCCUUCUGGAGCGGAUGCUGUAGCAUCCUGAGAUCCAGGCUCCCUUUGUCCUCUGUCCCAGCAGCCCUCCUGCUGCCUUCCCAUCCCUCUGUUCCCCCCUCCUCCAAGGCAAAUGGAGGAGCAGCAGGCGGCCUGACGUGAUGAACUCAGCCACGAGGUAGUGGGGGAGGCCCCAGCUUCUCUCCUCUUGCUUGGCUUCCUUGCCAGCAGGGACGGGAGACUUCACUGUGGGCCUUGCCAUUCCCAUUUCUCACUCCCCCUCCCCUCCCCCACUGCUGUGAGACACAGGAAAAUCCAUAGGCCCAAGAUUCAUUUUCUCCGUUGAGUCAGCAGAGGCCAGCGCUGCUUCUGAGGGGCAGGCAACUGGCUUUUAAAUAACUCUCUGAUAUUUAAUACCCUCCUCCUCCGCUCUGUGGCCUGGGCCUCUGGGGAAAGGCUAGAAUAAAUGAGCUGGAUGCGUCCUCCGAAAGUCCUAAAUGUUCUUACCCCCACCUCAGUCUUCCCCCCAACCCCCAACUCUCAGACCAUUGGAAAAGAUGACUCCUUACUACAUCUGUACCUUGCUUUACAGUUUCUAAGUGGUGGCAGGCUGGGUUUGUUGUCCCAGUUUAGAAUGGGAAAUGGACAUUUAGAAAAGGAGAGAGAUCCCACUUGACUUUUGGUCUUUGUCUGCUGUUGGCUGGCUGUGUGG
RNAcentral lists this long non-coding RNA (4731 nucleotides) under Homo sapiens (human). RNAcentral describes it as "non-protein coding lnc-ARRB1-1:10". The record is from RNAcentral. Lineage: Eukaryota; Metazoa; Chordata; Mammalia; Primates; Hominidae.